AUACGGAGGGGGUUAGCGUUGUUCGGAAUUACUGGGCGUAAAGCGCACGUAGGCGGACUGGGAAGUUGGGGGUGAAAUCCCGGGGCUCAACCCCGGAACUGCCUCCAAAACUUCCAAUCUAGAGAUCGAGAGAGGUGAGUGGAAUUACAAGUGUAGAGGUGAAAUUCGUAGAUAUUUGGAGGAAAACCAGUGGCGAAGGCGGCUCACUGGCUCGAUACUGACGCUGAGGUGCGAAAGCGUGGGGAGCAAACAGGAUUAGAUACCCUAGUAGUCC
Molecule: ribosomal RNA, 274 nt
Filed under: uncultured bacterium
Lineage: Bacteria
Description: partial 16S ribosomal RNA
Rfam family: Bacterial small subunit ribosomal RNA
Source: RNAcentral